GCGGACGCUGGCCAGGUGGGUCGGCCAGGCCUGCUGGAGCCGGGCCAGGCCCGCGUCGGUGAGCACGGCGUUGGCCCCGCGGGCGUCGGUG
Molecule: transfer RNA, 91 nt
Filed under: Actinoplanes couchii
Lineage: Bacteria; Bacillati; Actinomycetota; Actinomycetes; Micromonosporales; Micromonosporaceae
Description: tRNA-Ser
Source: RNAcentral